UAUCUCUGUAGAGUCUGCAUAUCAAUAAGCGGAGGAAAAGAAACUAACAAGGAUUCCCUUAGUAACGGCGAGUGAAGCGGGAAGAGCUCAAAUUUGAAAUCUUCAAGGUUCUACCUUGACGAAUUGUAGUUUAUAGAAGUGUUUUCUGUUGGAGUUUUGGUAAAAGUUCUUUGGAAUAGGACAUCAUAGAGGGUGAGAAUCCCGUAUUUGGUCAUUACUUCCUAGCUGUGUGAUACACUUUCAAAGAGUCGGAUUGUUUGGGAAUGCAGUCCAAAAUGGGUGGUAAAUUUCAUCUAAAGCUAAAUAUUGGCGAGAGACCGAUAGCGAACAAGUACCGUGAGGGAAAGAUGAAAAGAACUUUGAAAAGAGAGUUAAACAGUACGUGAAAUUGUCAAAAGGGAAGCGUUUGACACCAGUGUUGUUUUCUCGAAAAUCAAUUUAAUGAGUUCUUGUUUUUAAGUUAUUGUGACUUUAUCAGCGCAUUUCUUAUUUUACUUGACUCAUUGAAUGCACUUUUCGUUUAACAAGUCAACAUCAAUUUCUUUGGUGGUAAAAAGUUUAAAGGAAGGUGGCUUGGACUUCGGUUCAAGUGUUUAUAGCCUUUUUUCUAUGCCAUCGGAGAGAUUGAGGUCUGCAGCGUAGAUCCUUCGGGGUUAGAUACCUUUGUGCUAAGUUAUAGUUUUUUAUAGACAACUUGUUGACUAUAAUUAACCCUGUAAUUUACUCGCUUAGGCUAUUUUACCUACGCUUAGGAUGUUGAGUCAUCACACAUCUCU
This 776-nucleotide ribosomal RNA is filed under the name uncultured Neocallimastigales. RNAcentral's name for it is "partial large subunit ribosomal RNA". It matches the Rfam family "Eukaryotic large subunit ribosomal RNA", at positions 24 to 614 of the family's 3401-position model. The record is from RNAcentral. Lineage: Eukaryota; Fungi; Neocallimastigomycota; Neocallimastigomycetes; Neocallimastigales.